This 88-nucleotide transfer RNA is filed under the name Lactovum miscens. It matches the Rfam family "tRNA". From Rfam's summary of the family: Transfer RNA (tRNA) molecules are approximately 80 nucleotides in length. Their secondary structure includes four short double-helical elements and three loops (D, anti-codon, and T loops). Lineage: Bacteria; Bacillati; Bacillota; Bacilli; Lactobacillales; Streptococcaceae. The record is from Rfam by way of RNAcentral.
GGAAGGAUGUCCGAGAGGCUGAAGGAGCACGCUUGGAAAGCGUGUAAUGGUGUAUAAUCAUUCGCGGGUUCGAAUCCCGUUCCUUCCU